This 66-nucleotide transfer RNA is filed under the name Antechinomys laniger. RNAcentral's name for it is "tRNA-Cys". Lineage: Eukaryota; Metazoa; Chordata; Mammalia; Dasyuromorphia; Dasyuridae. The record is from RNAcentral.
GGCUUUGAAGUAUAUAUUACGUUGAAUUGCAAAUUCAAAAAAGUAGCUUAAGUGCUGCCGAGGCUU